GGCCACAUCUGUGGCAUAUGGAAUUUCCCAGACUAGGGGUCAAAUCGGAGCUGUAGCCGCCAGCCUAUGCCACAGCCACAGCAACGCAGCCACAUCUGCAACCUACACCAUGGCUCACAGCAACGCCGGAUCCUCAACCCACCAAGUGAGGCCAGGGAUCAAACCCCCAUCCUCAUGGAUACUAGUAGGGUUCGUUACCGCUGAGCCACAAGAGGAACUUCCUCUUCUUUUUUCUGUAAGGGCAUUAAUUCCAUCAUGAUGGACCAACUCUCAUGACCGCCACCAACCCUAAUUACCUCCCAAAGAUUCCACUCAAAUACCAUCACAUUGGAGGUUAGGGCUUCAAUAUAUGAAGGGGGUGAGCACUGCACAAACUCAGUCCAUAGUAUAUGUACAGAUACACAAAUACAUAUGCAUACCUAUAUAGAGUCACACACACAUGCACAUAUCCACACACACACGUAUGCAACCACAUAUACAUACGCUGAUACUAACACAAGCAUCAUGUAUACAGACGAAAGACAUGCACAUUCACACAAACCCAUAACCCCCGCCACACACACACCCAUACAUACCCAAGCACAAACACAUACACAAAUGUGCACAUAAAUGUGCCUACAAACAUACAUACAUAAACAGGCAUACAGACUCAUGCAAAUAUAGUCUCACAGUUCCACACACAGAGAUACACUCAUACACAAACAUACUUCCUUACACGCACAUACACAGCCAUACACACAUUUCCACAAUGAGCAUACAAAUACUCAAACACACACACACACACACACACACCAUAUUCCAUUCCCCCUCUCCACCUUCCACUCUCUCUGUCUCUCUCUCUCUAACAUGCACACACAGAGAGGCUCAGCCUGUUGGCCAUCUUUUCUCUCCUUAAAGAAAAAUGGCAUUGCUGUCAAUGCUCAGGAUCUCCAGCGGGAUCACCCUACAGCUACUGCCACCUCCCCACCAUUCCCAACCAAACCAGUGUCUACCCCACCCUGGCUGCAGCACCUCACCAUCGUCUGCUGCCCACCAGGGAGAUACCUGGUCCAGCCAUGUUCAUGCCUGGCCACAUAUCAGAAUCACUCAGAGCUGUCCACCAAUAUUGAUCCUAGAACCCUACCCUAGAGUUUCUGAUUUAAUUGAUCAGAGGUGGGACCUGGGUAUCUGGUUGCUUGUUUUUUAAGUUCUACUGCCUUUUUGGUAUAAAUCCCCAUUGCCAGCUCCAUAACCUUAGGAAACUUAAGCUACUUAAACCCUCAGGAUUUACCUUCUCUAUCUCUAAAAUGGGAGAAACAGGUUCCCAUUGUGGCUCAGCGGAAAUGAACCCAACUAGUAUCCAUAAGGACAUGGGUUCAAUCCCUGCUCCUGCUCAGUGGGUUAAGAAUCAAGCAUUGCCAUGAGCUGGAGAUAUAAAUUCCAGAUGUUGCUCUGAUCCAGCUUUACAACAGCAGUGGUGUAGGCCAGCGGUUGCAGCUCCAGUUUGACCCCUAGCCUGGGAACUUCCAUAUGCCGUGUGGCUCUAAAAAGCAAAAAAAAAAAAAAAGAGAGAGAGAGAGAGAGAUGGCAACUAACACAGCCAAUGGCUUUCUGGCUUCACUACUUUGCUAAAAGCAGGACCUAGACAGCAAGAGGGAAGAAGGGGACAAGACCAGUAUUUCUGGCUGGCUACCUCCCAGGCCUGAGGCACUGUUAAGACACUGCUUGGUUGUUGUAGGAAAGAUGGUAGGGUACCAGGACACUGAGUUGGUUUGUCUCAGCUGUACCACAUUCUCACCAUGUGAUCUUAGUUUCUUAGCUUCUCUGAACUAAGAUGGGGAUCAUAUCUUCUUCACCAGGGUAUGGUGCAGUCUCAUGAGAUCAUACCUGGAGUGAGAUCACUUGGUACCUGGCGUACACUAAGAACUCAAUAAACCUUGACUAUUUUAAUCUUGUUAACCACCCAUAUUUCAAAGUUUUAUUAAAAAUCCAUAAUUCAGGCAAGGACUCCAGAUUAUGUCAAAGUAUCUUCUAUUUUGAAUGAACCAAAAUGGAGUCCAUGGGCUGGACUCUGCAGUCCGUACUGCCUGGCAGCACGGCACUUCCACCGUUAUCUGAUUAUGUUCCCCACAUACAGCCUUGAAGGAGGCAUAACCUCUGUUCCCAGAAAAUUUAGCUCCCCCUGGAGAAGAAAGAAAAAUUUGGAUGCAAACAUAAUAAAUGGAAAUAGACGAAAAAUGAAGAAAACAACUCACAACCAUUUGCAAGUAAGGAAAAUGAGAUUCAGGGAAGCAAAAUGAAAAUUUGCCCAAGGACACACAGCUUAUAAAGCCCAGAGCAGGGACUUGCGCUCAGGACCAUCUAGAUGUCAAACCUCAUGCUCUUUCCACUUUACAUAAGAGCUCAAAGGACUCCAUUUUUAGAGCAAAUAUAAACAGUGGUAGAUUGGGUGGGUGGUGGGUUCCUAGCUAGCACGGCCUAAGCUUCUCAGAGUGACUCAGACUUGAUCAAAAUAGAAAGCCAUACAGAAUGAAAGAAUAAAGAAAAUAAAAUGGGAAGUUUUAAAUGUCUCAUCCACAGACACAGCAAAAUACAUAAAACAACCCAGGAAUGGCCCUCACAGGAGAUAACACUAUGCAUUUUUACAGAGGGACUUACAAGACCUGAAUAAAUGGAGAGAGAUGCCAUAUUCCUACAUCUGAAGAGUGACUAUGAAGAAAAUGUCCAUUUUUCCAGCUUUAUAUAGAACUUUAACAAAUUCUAAUCAAAAUCCUAAGGGAGAUUUCUUUUGAACUUGGAAAGAUGAUUCUAAGUUUCAUUUGAAAGAAUGAAUAAAGUUUGGCAAGAAAACAUUGAAAAAAAGAAAUAUA
This 2849-nucleotide long non-coding RNA is filed under the name Sus scrofa (pig). Its description in RNAcentral is "lncRNA (ENSSSCG00065045404.1)". Lineage: Eukaryota; Metazoa; Chordata; Mammalia; Artiodactyla; Suidae. The record is from RNAcentral.